CGGGUACGUUAAUAGCGUAUUCGUUUGACGUUAGCGACAGAAGAAAGCACCGGCUAACUCCGUGCCAGCAGCCGCGGUAAUACGGAGGGUGCGAGCGUUAAUCGGAAUUACUGGGCGUAAAGCGCAUGCAGGUGGUUUGUUAAGUCAGAUGUGAAAGACCCGGGGCGUCAACCUCGGAAUAGCAUUUGUAAACUAGGCAGACUAGAGUACUGUAGAGGGGGGUAGGAAUUUCUAGGUGUAGCGGUGAAAUAGCGUAGAGAUCUGAAGGAAUACCGGUGGCGAAGGCGGCCCCCUCGGACAGAUACUGACACUCAGAUGCGAAAGCGUGGGGAGCAAACAGGAUUAGAUACCCUGGUAG
Molecule: ribosomal RNA, 358 nt
Filed under: uncultured bacterium
Lineage: Bacteria
Description: bacterial SSU rRNA
Rfam family: Bacterial small subunit ribosomal RNA
Source: RNAcentral